UAGAGUCAGUCAUUUUUGGAAAAUAUUUCGAAUUUAUUUUUCAUUCAAAAUUGGAAAAAAAAAAGCCGAAUCGAAUUGAGAACUGUCACCACAGCUUGUGUGUAUGUAAUAAACAAUGUGAAAUAAUCAUCACACGACAGUAAGAAUGAACGUAGCAGCCAACAGCCAGCAACAACAUCUGAAAUCUUCUCCGAAAAACAAGUUUCCCCUCAAAUACGUUCGUACGUAUUAAUCACAUUGAGAAGAACAACAAAAAAACCCCAACUGCAACAACAUUCACAUGGACAUUAAGUGCAAUUAAUUGUCAAGUGGAAAACGUUAACAAAAAUUUCGAAAAAUUGUAAAGGUCAUUGCCAAAACGGUGAUGCACAACAGCAGCAGCAGCAGCGACUGGCAGCCAGUCAGCCCACCAGGCAGGCAGGCAGGUAAACACGACUCCACAACUGCAACUGUUGCCUCUGCUGUUGUCGAUGUUGAAUAACAAAGCCUCGUGUUAUUGAACCUCAAGAAGGAAAGUGCAAAAUGUAUGCAUAUGGAUGUUCUGCUGCUGCUCCUCCUCUCCUCCUCCACCUUCUUCUCUUUUCGAUGAUCAUGAAAUCGAAUUACAAUAAAAGCAUGUCGUUGGUUUUGAAAAAAAUGCACAAAAAUCUCCAACUUAGAGUGUCAAGAUGGUGUCUUAAGAGGAUGUUUGACGGCAGUGCAAAGACAUUGGAAUGCUUCUCCUGCUAGACCAACUAAUCGUUGUCUCUUAGGCGAGCAGUGUGUCUUCAUAAUUUUGGAGAAAAGGAAUGCAUUUUGGCGUGACAGAAACAAUAUUACGGCGACCAAUAUUUUUAUUAACACAAGAUGAACGGAUAUAAUGGACCACUACCUUCCCCACAAAAUAUACAAAUUUAGAAUAACCAUGAAGCUCAUAAAA
Musca domestica (house fly) is the source of this 919-nucleotide long non-coding RNA. RefSeq lists it as uncharacterized. The record is from RefSeq and is a predicted model, not a curated record. The transcript is spliced from 3 exons. Lineage: Eukaryota; Metazoa; Arthropoda; Insecta; Diptera; Muscidae.